GACGAACGCUGGCGGCGUGCUUAACACAUGCAAGUCGAACGGAAAGGCCCUGCUUUUGUGGGGUGCUCGAGUGGCGAACGGGUGAGUAACACGUGAGUAACCUGCCCUUGACUUUGGGAUAACUUCAGGAAACUGGGGCUAAUACCGGAUAGGAGCUCCUGCUGCAUGGUGGGGGUUGGAAAGUUUCGGCGGUUGGGGAUGGACUCGCGGCUUAUCAGCUUGUUGGUGGGGUAGUGGCUUACCAAGGCUUUGACGGGUAGCCGGCCUGAGAGGGUGACCGGCCACAUUGGGACUGAGAUACGGCCCAGACUCCUACGGGAAGCAGCAGUGGGGAAUAUUGCACAAUGGGCGGAAGCCUGAUGCAGCAACGCCGCGUGCGGGAUAACGGCCUUCGGGUUGUAAACCGCUUUCGCCUGUGACGAAGCGUGAGUGACGGUAAUGGGUAAAGAGGCACCGGCUAACUACGUG
Molecule: ribosomal RNA, 468 nt
Filed under: uncultured bacterium
Lineage: Bacteria
Description: partial 16S ribosomal RNA
Rfam family: Bacterial small subunit ribosomal RNA
Source: RNAcentral